RNAcentral lists this ribosomal RNA (460 nucleotides) under uncultured bacterium. RNAcentral describes it as "partial 16S ribosomal RNA". It matches the Rfam family "Bacterial small subunit ribosomal RNA", at positions 338 to 795 of the family's 1533-position model. The record is from RNAcentral.
CCUACGGGGGGCAGCAGUGAGGAAUCUUGGUCAAUGGACGAGAGUCUGAACCAGCCAAGUAGCGUGAAGGAUGACUGCCCUAUGGGUUGUAAACUUCUUUUAUAUGGGAAUAAAAUGUUCCACGUGUGGGAUUUUGUAUGUACCAUAUGAAUAAGCAUCGGCUAACUCCGUGCCAGCAGCCGCGGUAAUACGGAGGAUGCGAGCGUUAUCCGGAUUUAUUGGGUUUAAAGGGAGCGUAGGUCGAAUGUUAAGUCAGUGGUGAAAGUUUUCGGCUCAACCGUAGCAGUGCAGUUGAAACUGGCAGUCUUGAGUGACGUAGAGGUGUGCGGAAUGCGUGGUGUAGCGGUGAAAUGCUUAGAUAUCACGAAGAACUCCGAUUGCGAAGGCAGCAUACUGGACUGCAACUGACACUGAGGCUCGAAAGUGUGGGUAUCAAACAGGAUUAGAUACCCUGGUAGUC